RNAcentral lists this transfer RNA (72 nucleotides) under Nippostrongylus brasiliensis. It matches the Rfam family "tRNA". Rfam says of the family: Transfer RNA (tRNA) molecules are approximately 80 nucleotides in length. Their secondary structure includes four short double-helical elements and three loops (D, anti-codon, and T loops). The record is from Rfam by way of RNAcentral. Lineage: Eukaryota; Metazoa; Nematoda; Chromadorea; Rhabditida; Heligmosomidae.
ACAUUAGUAGGACAGUGGUCAGUGCAGUCUGCCGGAAACAGAAAGGCGCGGGUUCAAUUCCCGUCCGAUGUC